UUUCCUGAAGUUGCACAGCCAAUAAACGGCAGAGUCCUAAGCUUGUAUUCUGGGAGAACUACUGGCCAUUCCUUCUGUUGCCUUUUGAGAGAAAUUGGAAGAGUUAUGGCAUAAUUCUGAAAGCAAAGUGAAACUCGCUUGAAAUCUACCAAGACACUGGUUUCCAGAAAUGGUUAAGGGAGUCCACUGUAGAAUCCGAUAUUGUAAUCAGAGCACACUGUUAUAUGUGGAAGUUGCUGAUAUUGGGGAUGUUCCAGUGUAAAAGGAGGUAAUGUUUUUCUAUCUUAAAAUUUUAAAAUGAAAAUACUACUCUUUAUAGCAAUAUCCAAAUACUAAUUUCCCUAAUUAGGCGAUUUUAAGAGAAAAUAACCUCUGUGAUAUCACUUUAGCUAAAUUUAAGAUUGGAAGUUUUCUUUAAAAAUUUUUUUUAUUAAAUUAUAGUUGAUUUACAAUGUUGUGUUAGUUUCAAGGGUAAAGCAAAGUGAUUCAGUUAUAUAUUCAGUUGUAUAUAUUCUUUUUCAGAUUAUUUUCCAUUAUAGGUUAAGAUAUUGAGUAUGGUUCCCUGUGUUUAUACAGAAGGUCCUUGUUUGUCUAUUUUAUAUGUAGUAGUGUAUAUAUGUUAAUCCCAAGCUCCUAAUUUAUCUCCCCUGCUUUCGCCUUUUGUAACCAUAAAUUCAUUUUCUAUGUCUGAGUCUAUUUCUGUUCUGUAAAUAAGUUCAUUUGUAUCCUUUUAGAAGUUUUCUUAAAGAUCCACUGGCUGUCUUUUCACUAAACCUGGAAUGCUUCCAGUUUCAACAUCUUCUGAUAUGGGUCUUGUCUCAAGAUUUGAACACUGG
RNAcentral lists this long non-coding RNA (836 nucleotides) under Bos indicus x Bos taurus (hybrid cattle). RNAcentral describes it as "lncRNA (ENSBIXG00000024437.1)". The record is from RNAcentral. Lineage: Eukaryota; Metazoa; Chordata; Mammalia; Artiodactyla; Bovidae.